This 382-nucleotide ribosomal RNA is filed under the name uncultured eukaryote. Its description in RNAcentral is "partial 18S ribosomal RNA". It matches the Rfam family "Eukaryotic small subunit ribosomal RNA", at positions 592 to 976 of the family's 1831-position model. The record is from RNAcentral.
CAAUAGCGUAUAUUAAAGUUGUUGCAGUUAAAAAGCUCGUAGUUGGAUUUCUGGUUGAGGCGACCGGUCGGGCGUUGAUUCGUCUGCACUGGAGUCGGUUUUGGCCAUCCUCUAGGAAAGUGCGUCUGGUAUUAAGUUAUCGGGCGUAUGAUCCUGGUCUUUUACUGUGAAAAAAUUAGAGUGUUUAAAGCAGGCCUUCGCCUUGAAUACAUUAGCAUGGAAUAAUAAGAUAGGACUUUGGUCUAUUUUGUUGGUUUGCAGACCGAAGUAAUGAUUAAUAGGGAUAGUUGGGGGUAUUUAUAUUCCGAUGUCAGAGGUGAAAUUCUUAGAUUUUCGGAAGAUAAACUUAUGCGAAAGCAUUUACCAAGGAUGUUUUCAUUAA